AGAUACCCCACUAUGCCUAGCCAUAAACAUAGAUAAUCACGUACUUUUUUAUCCGCCUGGGUACUACGAGCAUCAGCUUAAAACCCAAAGGACUUGGCGGUGCUUUAGAUCCACCUAGAGGAGCCUGUUCUAGAACCGAUAAUCCCCGUUAAACCUCACCUUUCCUUGCCUAGUCCGCCUAUAUACCGCCGUCGUCAGCUUACUCUGUGAAGAGUUUGUAGUAAGCACAAUCGGCACAGCCCAAAAYGUCAGGUCGAGGUGUAGCGUAUGGAAAGGGAAGAAAUGGGCUACAUUCAAUAACAAUAGUGAACACGAAUAGUAUCUUGAAAGGAAUAAUUGAAGGAGGAUUUAGUAGUAAACAGGGAAUAGAGCGCCCUGCUGAAACCGGCCCUGAAGCGCGCACACACCGCCCGUCAC
This 417-nucleotide ribosomal RNA is filed under the name Anampses lineatus (lined wrasse). RNAcentral's name for it is "partial 12S ribosomal RNA". It matches the Rfam family "Bacterial small subunit ribosomal RNA", at positions 780 to 1400 of the family's 1533-position model. Lineage: Eukaryota; Metazoa; Chordata; Actinopteri; Labriformes; Labridae. The record is from RNAcentral.